Molecule: non-coding RNA, 635 nt
Organism: Ictidomys tridecemlineatus (thirteen-lined ground squirrel)
Lineage: Eukaryota; Metazoa; Chordata; Mammalia; Rodentia; Sciuridae
Source: RefSeq, a predicted model, not a curated record
ACGAGGCCCCACACGAGGUGGCGGUUUGCUCGUUCACUCCGACGUCCGCCGGGGGACGGGUGCUCAGGGGUCUCUGCCUUCCCAGGUACCAGGUCCGGGCCGGGAGCUGGAGGCAGCCAUGAACCAUUUUUAAAGAGAGGGACACGCCCUGAGAGGUGCAGGAUUAAACCCCCUGCUGUCCUAAAACCGCUGCCUGCCCCCAGGGAAGUCCGUGAAGCAGCAGCAGCAGCAGCAGCAGCAGCAGCAGCAGCAGCAGCGGCAGCGCACACUCCGGCUUGGUCUGGGUCAGUCUGGUCGUGUGGCCUAGCGUCUGGGGCACCACCGACUCCUCGGUUCCCUCCAGAGCAAAGGAAGCCCGGAAAAGCUGGCAGGGGUCUAGGAUGAGCGUCUUCCUCACCUUCACCUUCGCUCGACUGGCUCAGGCUUCUGCAGGUGACGUCCCCCGCUGAAGGAUCUGGUGCAGAGCCACAUCCGUCACUGAACUCGGAGGCCAGCGCCCCCCUCUGCAGAUCCUUCCCCUUGACAAACCGUGUAUUUCAUCUACUUCCCGUGAUCUUCUUGCAUUAUUUCAAUAUUAUUAAUACUUGGCAAAUAUAUUAAAAAAGUAAUAAACUGGCAAUUAUGAUUGUGCUACG